CCAUAUGUCCCUCCAUAUACU
RNAcentral lists this microRNA (21 nucleotides) under Malus domestica (apple). Its description in RNAcentral is "mdm-miR10987". Lineage: Eukaryota; Viridiplantae; Streptophyta; Magnoliopsida; Rosales; Rosaceae. The record is from miRBase by way of RNAcentral.